Molecule: long non-coding RNA, 360 nt
Filed under: Parus major (Great Tit)
Lineage: Eukaryota; Metazoa; Chordata; Aves; Passeriformes; Paridae
Description: lncRNA (ENSPMJG00000018728.1)
Source: RNAcentral
CUCAGAUUGGAGAGACCCUGAGAUGCUCGCCUGGUCAGCACUCCUACCCAGUGCAACACUGGGACUAAAGAUAGCACCAAGAGAAUAUAUCCAACCCUUUUUAUCCAGCCUUUUCUUCAGGAAUCUUACAAGGAAAAAAACAUUCAUCAGCAAGAGUCAACCCUGACGAUAAAAUGCAGAAAUCAGUCUGAGUGUGCUGUGAGAGGCAGGUCUUUACCCCAAACGAGGAAAGGUGACUGUGGUGGUUUAUCAGAUGUGAUGUCGAUAUUGUCCAAGAGCUUGGAGUAAAGAACUGGAAAAAUGUGGUGUGGUAAGUGCAGUUCUUCAUGGGUUAGCACUGCUCUAAAAUCUGUCUUUCCC